This 2272-nucleotide long non-coding RNA is filed under the name Cricetulus griseus (Chinese hamster). Its description in RNAcentral is "lncRNA (ENSCGRG00015035944.1)". The record is from RNAcentral. Lineage: Eukaryota; Metazoa; Chordata; Mammalia; Rodentia; Cricetidae.
UCGGCCAGGGGACCCCAAAGCAUCCCGUGCGGCAGCCUCGCUGGGAACGCACGUGUUCCCUGGUGGCUUCCCAGCAGGUGGUGCACAAGUGGCCCGUGGACGUUUUCAGGAGGUUUUUCCUUCUCAUGAUUGCAGAGACAAGAUCCCUACCCCGGUCACCCUCAGGCCUGUGUGCGCCAUGGGGUGCAUCACCACCAGCCAUUGUCACAUGCUUUUCUAAUUGAAAUGGGAACUUAUCCUACUCUUAGGCAGACACGCCUAAAGUUCCCGCACAAACGCUCCAGGGACUAAGCAGCGCCUUCUGCUGUCCGUAACUCGAGGGUUUUGCGAGUCCUCUGUUUGGCCACCAAGAGCAGUUUGUUUGUUUGUUUGUUUGUUUGUUUGUUUUUCGUAACUCGAGGGUUUUGCGAGUCCUCUGUUUGGCCACCAAGAGCAGUUUGUUUGUUUGUUUGUUUGUUUGUUUGUUUGUUUGUUUUUCGAGACAGGGUUUCUCUGUGUAACAGUCCUGGCUCUCCUGGAACUUCCUUUAUAGACCAAGCUGGCCUUGAACUCAGAGAUCCGCCUGCCUGUGCCUUCCAAGUGAUGGGAUUAAAAGCCUGCACCACCACUGCCAGGCUGAGCAUUUUAAAGACCUGUGGUCCGAAUUCUAGAAAAGAAAACACGUGUACAGUCCUCUAGCACAAAGGAAAGACUCAGAGACAGCCCAGUCCAGGCUGGAAGGAAAAGGGAACCAUGCAGAGCCUGGAGCGGUGGAAGCCAAAAGUCUCUAGCGCUCCGCCAGGACCAGGUAGCCGGCCAUCUUCUGCCGUGACUCAGCGGGAGGUUUCAGGGUGCCUGUCUACUGGCAGCGGCUUGAGCCUCCAGUGAGAACCAGCUUAAGGGCUGCAAGCACCCAGCCCUAAAGAGGUACACUUAGUGCUGCCUGUAUGUGAAUGGGUGUAGGGCCAUCUACCAUUGUAGCCACUCUGGUGGGACCUACCUGAAGAAAACUGACUCUCCCUCUCCUAUGGCCAUCAGUUGACAAUAGUUCCUCAGCUAAGGAUAGGACUUUGUGCUGGGACUUUGACUUGAACUUUCCCAGGUCUUGUGCAUGCUGUCCCUGUCUUUGUGGGUUCAUAUAUGCAGAUGGCCUGUUGUGUCCUGAGCCAUCUACUCUCUCUCUCUGCCUCUUAGAAUCUUUUUGCCUCCUAUUCUGCAAAGAACCCUGAACCUCAAAGGUGUGUAGGCAAUAAUGACAUCCAUUUAGGGCUGAGAACGCCAGUCUCUUAUUCUAGUGCAUUGACCAAACUAUUAAUCUCUGUGUUAAUCACUAUCCAAUGCAAAAAGAACUUCUCUGCAAGAAUUAAAAGAUUCACUAAUCCAAGUAUGGCGUACAGGGCUGACUGAGGUCUUCUCUGUAAACAAAGGCUUACUACAGUAACCUUUAGGGUAGCCGUUUGUAAUGGAGAUAGAAGAUGAAGCCUAAGAUAUUGGUGAAGGCCUGGAAUACCACUCCCAGAGGAUGAGACAGGAAUACCGUCUCAAGUUCAAAGCCAACCUGGGCUUUAUAAGGAGAGUACCUCAAAAAAGAUAGAAAGAACAGGCCAUGGUGGCACAUGCCUUUAAUCCCAGCACUCAGGAGGCAGAGGCAGGUAGAUAUCUGUGAGUUCAAGGCCAGCCUGGUCUGUUCCAGGACAGACUCCAAAACCCUGUCUCCAAAAACAAGAGAGAGAGAGAACAACUCUACCCAAACAUCUGGCUACAUAAAGAAUCAGACAUAAUAACACAGUAACCGACACAAUAGCACAAUCUCCACUUCCAAGAGACAGUCACCAAACCAUCCAGAAGAUGAGGGCAAGUCAACAGAAUCAAACAGACUGGCCUUUAACUUCUCUGGGCCUCCUGUCUCCACCUUCCAAAUGCUAGGAUGACAGGUAUGUAUUGAAGGAACCAGCUUCCCUUUUGGCAGCCAUAACGGUCCAACAUGUGCUUCUAUGACCUUGUCCUAGAAACUAGAAAGUCAGAUGCCUGUCUCGUGACAAGGAACCAACCGGAAGUUAGCUGGUGGCGCUAUGCUUUACGACCCUGGGUGUGCUUUACGGACAAGCCCACAGCAAUGACGUAGAGAGCAUAGCAACCACUCUGGGAGGGCCUAUGGGCCAUAACAACCAGUUGACCAAUCAACACAGGGCAAGCCCUCCAAGCCUGGAAGCACAUCAAUCGUGAGCCUGUGCGUACCCCUAGACACUCCCCUUACGCUGCCCUAUAAGAUCUUUUGGGAGACCCUAGGAGC